GGCGGCGUGCCUAAUACAUGCAAGUCGAGCGAAGUUUUUCUGGUGUUUGCACUAGAAAAACUUAGCGGCGAACGGGUGAGUAACACGUAAAGAACCUGCCUCAUAGACUGGGACAACUAUUGGAAACGAUAGCUAAUACCGGAUAACAGUAUUUCUCGCAUGGGAGAUAUUUAAAAGUUGGUUAUGCUAACACUAUGAGAUGGCUUUGCGGUGCAUUAGCUAGUUGGUGGGGUAAAGGCCUACCAAGGCGACGAUGCAUAGCCGACCUGAGAGGGUGAUCGGCCACACUGGGACUGAGACACGGCCCAGACUCCUACGGGAGGCAGCAGUAGGGAAUCUUCCGCAAUGGGCGAAAGCCUGACGGAGCAACGCCGCGUGAGUGAAGAAGGAUUUCGGUUCGUAAAGCUCUGUUGUUAGGGAAGAAUGGAUAUGUAGUAA
RNAcentral lists this ribosomal RNA (438 nucleotides) under Gemella morbillorum. RNAcentral's name for it is "bacterial SSU rRNA". It matches the Rfam family "Bacterial small subunit ribosomal RNA", at positions 38 to 463 of the family's 1533-position model. The record is from RNAcentral. Lineage: Bacteria; Bacillati; Bacillota; Bacilli; Caryophanales; Gemellaceae.